GGAUUGUGGCUCAGUGGUAGAGCGCUUGCCUCGCACAUGUGAGGCACUGGGUUCAAUCCUCAGCACCA
This 68-nucleotide transfer RNA is filed under the name Marmota monax (woodchuck). RNAcentral describes it as "tRNA.Ala". Lineage: Eukaryota; Metazoa; Chordata; Mammalia; Rodentia; Sciuridae. The record is from RNAcentral.